RNAcentral lists this ribosomal RNA (383 nucleotides) under uncultured bacterium. RNAcentral's name for it is "bacterial SSU rRNA". It matches the Rfam family "Bacterial small subunit ribosomal RNA", at positions 28 to 401 of the family's 1533-position model. The record is from RNAcentral.
GAUGAACGCUGGCGGCGUGCUUAACACAUGCAAGUCGAACGAAGAUGCCGGAGUGCUUGCACUUUGGCAGACUGAGUGGCGGACGGGUGAGUAACGCGUGGGGUAACCUGCCUUAUACAGGGGGAUAACAGUUGGAAACGACUGCUAAUACCGCAUAAGCGCACGGUAUCGCAUGGUUCUGUUAUCAAAGAUUUUAUCGCUGAUAGAUGGGCUCGCGUCCGAUUAGAUAGUUGGUGGGGUAACGGCCUACCAAGUCGACGAUCGGUAGCCGGACUGAGAGGUCGAACGGCCACAUUGGGACUGAGACACGGCCCAGACUCCUACGGGAGGCAGCAGUGGGGGAUAUUGCACAAUGGGGGAAACCCUGAUGCAGCGACGCCGCG